Oncorhynchus tshawytscha (Chinook salmon) is the source of this 3752-nucleotide long non-coding RNA. The record is from Ensembl. Lineage: Eukaryota; Metazoa; Chordata; Actinopteri; Salmoniformes; Salmonidae.
GAUAUAGUAUAAUUAUAUUUUGUUGUUGAAUAACUUUGUUGUUGAAUAAGGUUAUAAAGUUAGUAAGAAUAAGUUAGGUUAAGUAUUUAAGAUAUAUUUUAAGCCUGAAGGAGUAAGAAUAAAUGGGGAAAAGAUUUUGUCUGCUCCAUAGGUUCUAAAAACAGGAGAAGUCGGGAGGGCAGGCAUGUAUUCCAGUCCGUAUCUCCAGGUUAUGUUUAGUUAAUCUGUUGGGAAAAGAUGCAAUGACUCUGUUGAAUGUGGCCGUCACCCCCACAGAAAGCCCGAGGCCAUAAAAGAGAUUACUCCAACCUUUGAAGAUUUGGUAGAGGGGGGUGUAAUUAGAGAAGGAGAUGCACAGUGCAAUUCUCCAAUGUUCCCCGUAAAGAAAGCAGCCCCCAGUAAUGAUUGGAGAAUGGUAUUAGACUUACAAAGAGGGAUUCACAUGUUGUUUAAACAAUUGAAAAUAGAAAAUACCUAUUGUUCUGUCUACCAAUCUUACCAAAGACACUGUUGACAUAUGCAGCAAUAUUGACACGUGGGCAGAGCCACGAUUAUGGUAGCUAAAACAUUAGGUCCAGAUAUUAUCCCUAGAGUUGGUUUACUAGGAUCUAUUUCUUUAAACAAAGGUUGGCAUUUUAGCUAAUCAGGUAGACCAUAUAGAAUGCCAGAGUUAGGGAGACCAGAACGGACCGACAUAGAAAUUGAAGAUAUACUAGCAGAACGCAUGAGAAGACUGUUAGUAACCACACCCGUAUGUCAAAGAUUUUAUGCCCAACAGGAGAGUUGCAGAAGGAGAUAACACACAAGAUCCAACCAGGAGAAUGGGUCUGGGUCCAAUCCCUAAAGAAAAAAGACUGGAAACAGCCACGGUGGGACGGACCAUACCAACUGCUACCUAUCCAAUAUACAGCAAGAUCCUCUGGGUUGGGUUGGCACCCCCCUUGGGUUGUGCCGUGGCGGAGAUCUUUGGGCUAUACUUUGCCUUGUCUCAGGAUGAGGACACUAGGACCAUACCUCAGGACUACCUGGCAUGAUGACUCCUUACUGUCCCCAGUCCACCUGGCCGUGCUGCUGCUCCAGCUUCAACUGUUCUGCCUGCGGCUAUGGAACCCUGACCUGUUCACCGGACGUGCUACCUGUCCCAGACCUGCUGUUUUCAACUCUCUAGAGACAGCAGGAGCGGUAGAGAUACUCUCAAUGAUCGGCUGAAAAUCCAACUGACAUUUACUCCUGAGGUGCUGACUUGUUGCACCCUCGACAACUACUGUGAUUAUUAUUAUUUGACCAUGCUGGUGAUUUAUGAACAUUUGAACAUCUUGGCCAUGUUCUGUUAUAAUCUCCACCCGGCACAGCCAGAAGAGGACUGGCCACCCCUCAUAGCCUGGUUCCUCUCUAGGUUUCUUCCUAGGUUUUAGCCUUUCUAGGGAGUUUUUCCUAGCCACCGUGCUUCUACACCUGCAUUGCUUGCUGUUUGGGGUUUUAGGCUGGGUUUCUGUACAGCACUUUGAUGUAUCAGCUGAUGUAAGAAGGGCUAUAUAAAUACAUUUGAUUUGAUUUAGGCAGGCCCACAUUAUUUUAGCCAUGCAGGUCCCAUUUUGGAUGAGUGUAAAACACUCCAUAGUCUGCGUUGUCUUAAUAUUAUAUGAUGGUGCCUGUAAGUGUGACAUAGCCUAUUAAAAACAAGUAGUUGUUUUGUUUAGAAUUUGAUUAGAAUGACUUGUUCUCUUUUUAGGCCUUAUCAAUAAUGAAUUGAAUCUUGCUUAUUGACAGUGUUUGAAAUGUUCAUGCUCAUCCAUAAUGUACUUUACAGUAGGCCUAGCCCGAUAUCAGUGCGAAUGCUAUUGGAGCCAUGCAAUAACUUAGAACAAUGUGGACUGCAGAUGGGUUCAAGUGAACCUAUUUAGCAAAGACGGGAUAGGUCUACAUUUUGUUAUUUCGUUUCUGUAAGCCAUUUAACAAACUAUAACGGACUAUAUCAUUGGAAUUGGAGUUGUUUCCAAAGCAAUACAUACAAGACCGUAUAUACACCAUGGAGCACGUUCUGAUUGGCCAGUGAGGGGCUAAGCUUCGACACCCACAACUUGUUAAUUCAUCAAAACUCAGCCCUUUUGCACCAAUGCCAGAAUGUGCGCCAAUUGUGAUAGUGAAAAUAUAACAAAUAUUUCUGACACACCACUGAACCUAUAGCUCUACCGCCUGUUCUUAGAUUUAUCAUUGCGUUAAGUUUUAUUACAAUAGAGCCCUUAGGGUCAGACUGUUAAUUAUUUCAUAAAGCUGACUGCCAAUCUUUGUCAGACCUUGUGUUGGAGGAGAAAAAGUAUGAUGAGUCCCUCACUAUAUAUAUAUAUAUAUGAGUGUAUGAAACAAUAGGAACACCUUCCUAAUAUUGAGUUGCACCCCCUUUUGCACUCAGAACAGGCUCAAUUCGUUGGGGCCUGGACUCUAUACAUGAAGAUAGGAGAGGAGUCUGUUCCACUCUGCCAUCAUGACAUCCAUCCCCAUCACUUUAUUGUCCAUGUGCACCCCAGCAAGAAUGGAAUCAUGAUAUUUGCAAAAGCCCUGAAAGACAGAGAAAGAGAAAGAGAGAACCACCUCCAAUAACUACAAGGCCAGAGACUGCCCAGCCUGGAGCCCCAGGGCCAUUCCACAGCACACAAGGAGCUAAAAGCUGCAUGUAGCCCACGACACCCCUGGUCCCAGGCUACAUUCUGGGUUCUGGCCCACUGGCUGCUGAAGAUUCUGGGGGAGGUCUACUCGCCUCUGUAUGUACUAGCUCACUGGCCAUCGCGGAAGGUUCUGGAGGACCACUAGCUUUCCAAGGUUAGGGUACGUAGGGUAACCUGGGAAAGAAGUCUGGUUGCCCCCUGGGAAUGGGCCUGGCUGGCUGCAUGGGCUGCUGCAGACCUGAAAGACUGGACGUGAGUAAGGAUCGUGGAUUGGAGGGAAGAGGUCCCUGAAGCAAUAACAGUUGGUUGUAUUCAUUAAUGUCAUAUUGGGUGGAAGCUACUAAAGUUUUAAGGAAGUAUUCUUUAAUGUAAAGUACAUUUAAAUUUAUAACAAUAAUAGCCGGUGUCAAAAAAUGUAAGGAAUUGCCGUAGAUCGUACAGUCAUGUCCUCCCAAUCAAUAACAGUCAUAUGGGGUGGACGGUAUUUAAGUUUUUAGCAAGUUUUUUAAUAUAUUUUUUUACAUAUACUAAAAUUAAUUUAAAAUAGCCAAAGUAAAAACAUUUUUAAAAAGUAAUUGCCGUAGAUGGGAGGGAAGAGGUCCCUAAACCAAUAACAAUUGGUUGUUUUCAUGCAAGUGAUAUACGGUAGAAGCUAUUGCUGUAUUAAGGAAGUGUAUUUGGCAUAUUCUGAUAUUAAAUUAAUUGAAAAUAGCCAAAGUUCAAAAAUACAACUGUCAUUUCCAUAGAUUGUACAGACGAAGUCCCUGAAUCAAUAACAAUUGGUUGUAGUAUUCAUGCAAGCUAUAUGGGGUUGAAGCUAUAUAUGUUUUAAGGAAUUAUUGUUUUUAACAAAUUAAAACAUUUUAUUAAUUGGAAACAGCCAAAGUAAAAAAAAUAAAGAAGCAUUUGUAAUAUUUCUAAGUCAUGUGGUAAGAAAUCUAUUGAAGUCUUUCUGUUAGCAUUAGGUUUCAAUUGCCCUUUUAAGACGGUCCCUUAGCUGUGACUACACUUAGAAAUUUGUAUUUUAUUUUUAUUUUUUAUUUUUUUUACAUAUGAUAUUAAAUUAAUUGGAUGGGAGAGUAGAGG